AGAAUUAGAAAAACAACAGCCUAACAGAUGAAGAAUGUGUCCACAUAGAGCAACCGUUAUGCUAUCACCUACCUACCUUAACGUUGAUGAAAACAGAUGUGCUUGAAGUUUUUCCUGAAUUGAUUAGAGAUAGGAAAACCUUCCUGAUGAAUUUUGAAAUGAUACAGAGGAAAGAACUACAUGUACAGUUUGAAUUAUAGGAGCCUUGGUCACAGACCUUUAACAUGAUUGAUCUGUCAGAACCCAAAAUGGAAACUGACCGAUACCAGAGUGACAGAAUUAGACUGACACCAGACUAAACAUGUUCAGACGAGUGUAUUAAUAACAAUAGUCAGCACACAGACUGUGAAGAUUCUGAUGGCACCUCUUCCAG
Long non-coding RNA from Ruditapes philippinarum (Manila clam), 373 nucleotides. RefSeq lists it as uncharacterized. Lineage: Eukaryota; Metazoa; Mollusca; Bivalvia; Venerida; Veneridae. The transcript is spliced from 3 exons. The record is from RefSeq and is a predicted model, not a curated record.